RNAcentral lists this transfer RNA (73 nucleotides) under Candidatus Pelagibacterales bacterium. RNAcentral describes it as "tRNA-Phe". It matches the Rfam family "tRNA". From Rfam's summary of the family: Transfer RNA (tRNA) molecules are approximately 80 nucleotides in length. The record is from RNAcentral. Lineage: Bacteria; Pseudomonadati; Pseudomonadota; Alphaproteobacteria; Candidatus Pelagibacterales.
GUUUUAAUAGCUCAGUUGGUAGAGCAUAGGACUGAAAAUCCUAUUGACGGUAGUUCAAAUCUGCCUUAAAACA